AACGAACGCUUGCGGCAUGCCUACCACAAGCAAGUCGAACGAAGCCUUCGGGCUUAGUGACGCACGGGUGCGUAACGCGUGGGAAUCUGCCCUUGGGUUCGGAAUAACAGUUAGAAAUGACUGCUAAUACCGGAUGAUGUCUUCGGACCAAAGAUUUAUCGCCCAAGGAUGAGCCCGCGUAGGAUUAGGUAGUUGGUGGGGUAAUGGCCCACCAAGCCGAUGAUCCUUCGCUGGUCUGAGAGGAUGAUCAGCCACACUGGGACUGAGACACGGCCCAGACUCCUACUAGAGGCAGCUGUGGGCAAUAUUGGACCAUGGGCGAAAACCUGAUCCAGCAAUGCCGCGUGAGUGAUGAAGGCCUUAGGGUUGUAAAGCUCUUUUCCCAGGGAUGAUAAUGACAGUACCUGGAGAAUAAGCUCCGGCUAACUCCGUGCCUGCCGCCGCAGUAA
Molecule: ribosomal RNA, 449 nt
Filed under: uncultured bacterium
Lineage: Bacteria
Description: partial 16S ribosomal RNA
Rfam family: Bacterial small subunit ribosomal RNA
Source: RNAcentral